GUGCCAGCCGCCGCGGUAAUACGGAGGGUGCAAGCGUUGUCCGGAUUUAUUGGGUUUAAAGGGUGCGUAGGCGGCUUUUUAAGUCAGUGGUGAAAGCCUGGAGCUCAACUCCAGAACUGCCAUUGAUACUGAAGAGCUUGAGUACAGACGAGGUAGGCGGAAUUUAUGGUGUAGCGGUGAAAUGCAUAGAUACCAUAAGGAACACCGAUUGCGAAGGCAGCUUACUAGACUGUAACUGACGCUCAGGCACGAAAGCGGGGGGAGCAAACAGGAUUAGAUACCCGUGUAGUCC
This 292-nucleotide ribosomal RNA is filed under the name uncultured bacterium. RNAcentral describes it as "partial 16S ribosomal RNA". It matches the Rfam family "Bacterial small subunit ribosomal RNA", at positions 505 to 796 of the family's 1533-position model. The record is from RNAcentral.